GAUGAACGCUCGCGGCGUGCCUAAUACAUGCAAGUCGAGCGAACAGACGAGGAGCUUGCUCCUCUGACGUUAGCGGCGGACGGGUGAGUAACACGUGGAUAACCUACCUAUAAGACUGGGAUAACUUCGGGAAACCGGAGCUAAUACCGGAUAAUAUAUUGAACCGCAUGGUUCAAUAGUGGAAGACGGUUUUGCUGUCACUUAUAGAUGGAUCCGCGCCGCAUUAGCUAGUUGGUAAGGUAACGGCUUACCAAGGCAACGAUGCGUAGCCGACCUGAGAGGGUGAUCGGCCACACUGGAACUGAGACACGGUCCAGACUCCUACGGGAGGCAGCAGUAGGGAAUCUUCCGCAAUGGGCGAAAGCUUGACGGAGCAACGCCGCGUGAGUGAUGAAGGUCUUCGGAUCGUAAAACUCUGUUAUUAGGGAAGAACAAAUGUGUAAGUAACUAUGCACGUCUUGACGGUACCUAAUCAGAAAGCCACGGCUAACUACGUG
RNAcentral lists this ribosomal RNA (497 nucleotides) under uncultured bacterium. RNAcentral's name for it is "partial 16S ribosomal RNA". It matches the Rfam family "Bacterial small subunit ribosomal RNA", at positions 28 to 507 of the family's 1533-position model. The record is from RNAcentral.